UUAAGUUCAGCGGGUAUUCCUACCUGAUCCGAGGUCAACCUUGUGAAAAUUAAGGGGUUUCACGGCUGAAAACCCGCCGCGAGCCACAGAAGCGAGGUGUAAACUACUACGCUCAGGGUCACGGCGACAUCGCCACUAUCUUUCAGGGCCUGCUGCAAGCAGCAGAAGCCCCAACACCAAGCACUAAAGCGCUUGAGGGU
RNAcentral lists this unclassified non-coding RNA (200 nucleotides) under Conlarium sp. RNAcentral's name for it is "partial internal transcribed spacer 2". The record is from RNAcentral. Lineage: Eukaryota; Fungi; Ascomycota; Sordariomycetes; Conlariaceae.